CCCUUAGAUGUUCUGGGCCGCACGCGCGCUACACUGACGAAGUCAGCGAGCAUGUCCUACGCCGACAGGUGCGGGGAAUCUUGUCAAACUUCGUCGUGAUGGGGAUUGAUUAUUGAAAUUCUUGAUCAUCAACGAGGUAUUCCUAGUAAGCGCAAGUCAGCAGCUUGCGUUGAUUACGUCCCUGCCCUUUGUACACACCGCCCGUCGCUACUACCGAUUGAAUGGUUUAGUGAGAUCUUCGGAUUGGCGCCACUGCGGCUCAGCAAUGGGCUCGGUGGAUGCCGAAAAGUUGAUCAAACUUGAUCAUUUAGAGGAAGUAAAAGUCGUAACA
This 331-nucleotide ribosomal RNA is filed under the name uncultured eukaryote. RNAcentral's name for it is "partial 18S ribosomal RNA". It matches the Rfam family "Eukaryotic small subunit ribosomal RNA", at positions 1470 to 1796 of the family's 1831-position model. The record is from RNAcentral.